Molecule: ribosomal RNA, 495 nt
Filed under: uncultured bacterium
Lineage: Bacteria
Description: partial 16S ribosomal RNA
Rfam family: Bacterial small subunit ribosomal RNA
Source: RNAcentral
GACGAACGCUGGCGGCGUGCCUAAUACAUGCAAGUAGGACGCUGAAGGAGGAGCUUGCUUCUCUGGAUGAGUUGCGAACGGGUGAGUAACGCGUAGGUAACCUGCCUGGUAGCGGGGAAUAACUAUUGGAAACGAUAGCUAAUACCGCAUAAUAGUAGAUGUUGCAUGACAUUUGCUUAAAAGGUGCAAUUGCAUCACUACCAGAUGGACCUGCGUUGUAUUAGCUAGUUGGUGGGGUAACGGCUCACCAAGGCGACGAUACAUAGCCGACCUGAGAGGGUGAUCGGCCACACUGGGACUGAGACACGGCCCAGACUCCUACGGGAGGCAGCAGUAGGGAAUCUUCGGCAAUGGACGGAAGUCUGACCGAGCAACGCCGCGUGAGUGAAGAAGGUUUUCGGAUCGUAAAGCUCUGUUGUAAGAGAAGAACGAGUGUGAGAGUGGAAAGUUCACACUGUGACGGUAUCUUACCAGAAAGGGACGGCUAACUACGUG